Molecule: long non-coding RNA, 335 nt
Organism: Scylla paramamosain (green mud crab)
Lineage: Eukaryota; Metazoa; Arthropoda; Malacostraca; Decapoda; Portunidae
Exons: 3
Source: RefSeq, a predicted model, not a curated record
UGGCCGCUGCAGCCGAGCACCAAUAUGCUCGCGAAGCUGGUGGUGGUAACUUGCCUUGGCGUCGCAACUACCCGUCCCAAAAUGCGAGAUGGCCAGGAGCUGGUCCUGCAUACUGGUGGUGCAGCAGAAUUAAUGCGGAGUCCACUAAACGCUUCGUGUACCACCAUCACCAUAACGGACAGUACUACCACUCCUCCAGACGUCGUGAAGGAUCUACUCGCAAAAUCAGCGUUGGACCAGUGGCAAGUGAUGGCAACAUUUGAGGUGAAUUUAGAGAAGAGAAACACCACCAUUACUGAUCGCCUGUCGAAGUUGAUCCCCUUAGCACGUCAGGU